CCCUUAGAUGUUCUGGGCUGCACGCGCGCUACACUGAUGCGUGCAACGAGCUUAUAACCUUGGCCGAAAGGUCUGGGUAAUCUCCAAAUUUCGUCGUGAUGGGGAUAGAUUAUUGCAAUUAUUAAUCUUCAACGAGGAAUGCCUAGUAAGCGCAAGUCAUCAGCUUGCGUUGAUUACGUCCCUGCCCUUUGUACACACCGCCCGUCGCUCCUACCGAUUGAAUGGUCCGGUGAAGCGUUCGGACCGUGGCCUUUGGACGGUUCGCCGUCUGUUGGCUGCGGGAAGUUCGUUAAACCUUAUCAUUUAGAGGAAGGAGAAGUCGUAACA
RNAcentral lists this ribosomal RNA (327 nucleotides) under uncultured eukaryote. RNAcentral describes it as "partial 18S ribosomal RNA". It matches the Rfam family "Eukaryotic small subunit ribosomal RNA", at positions 1470 to 1796 of the family's 1831-position model. The record is from RNAcentral.